This 344-nucleotide small RNA is filed under the name Arabidopsis thaliana (thale cress). Its description in RNAcentral is "ATSL095270". The record is from RNAcentral. Lineage: Eukaryota; Viridiplantae; Streptophyta; Magnoliopsida; Brassicales; Brassicaceae.
AAAAAAGAAAUACAACCAAACGAGUUCCUAAAUCAUCCUCUCUUCCUAGCUAGGAUGCCAUGAUCACACUUUAUCUUUACCUACACUAUAAAGAAAGAAAUGCGUAAGUAUUAUCAUAAAUACCUAGUGAGUCGAUACUCCCAUCUACGGCUAUACACACAAGCAAUAAACGGUAUAACUACAAAAUAAAAUAUAUAAAAAACCCAGUCAUUGAACAGUUCACCCAAAAACACAUUCACCAUACCUACAUAUCAUCACACAAAACAAGUCAUAUAACCCAAUCGCAUAGAUAAGCUCAUGGUCACGCACUCACCUUAACAAGCUGAUUAUAACAACAAUUAUAA